RNAcentral lists this ribosomal RNA (465 nucleotides) under uncultured Klebsiella sp. Its description in RNAcentral is "bacterial SSU rRNA". It matches the Rfam family "Bacterial small subunit ribosomal RNA", at positions 338 to 795 of the family's 1533-position model. The record is from RNAcentral. Lineage: Bacteria; Pseudomonadati; Pseudomonadota; Gammaproteobacteria; Enterobacterales; Enterobacteriaceae.
CCUACGGGCGGCAGCAGUGGGGAAUAUUGCACAAUGGGCGCAAGCCUGAUGCAGCCAUGCCGCGUGUGUGAAGAAGGCCUUCGGGUUGUAAAGCACUUUCAGCGGGGAGGAAGGCGGUGAGGUUAAUAACCUCAUCGAUUGACGUUACCCGCAGAAGAAGCACCGGCUAACUCCGUGCCAGCAGUCGCGGUAAUACGGAGGGUGCAAGCGUUAAUCGGAAUGACUGGGCGUAAAGCGCACGCAGGCGGUCUGUCAAGUCGGAUGUGAAAUCCCCGGGCUCAACCUGGGAACUGCAUUCGAAACUGGCAGGCUAGAGUCUUGUAGAGGGGGGUGGAAUUCCAGGUGUAGCGGUGAAAUGCGUAGAGAUCUGGAGGAAUACCGGUGGCGAAGGCGGCCCCCUGGACAAAGACUGACGCUCAGGUGCGAAAGCGUGGGGAGCAAACAGGAUUAGAUACCCGUGUAGUC